This is an unclassified non-coding RNA of Macaca fascicularis (crab-eating macaque), 254 nucleotides long. It matches the Rfam family "Metazoan signal recognition particle RNA". From Rfam's summary of the family: The signal recognition particle (SRP) is a universally conserved ribonucleoprotein. It is involved in the co-translational targeting of proteins to membranes. The eukaryotic SRP consists of a 300-nucleotide 7S RNA and six proteins: SRPs 72, 68, 54, 19, 14, and 9. NCBI's taxonomy places the organism in Eukaryota, Metazoa, Chordata, Mammalia, Primates, Cercopithecidae. The record is from Ensembl.
ACCGGGUGCAGUGGUGUGGGCCUGCAGUUCCAGCUACUCAAGAGGCUGAAGUAAGAUGAUCGCUGGAGCCGAGGGGUUCUGGGCUGUACUGCGCUAUGCUGAUCAGGUGCCCGCACUAAGUUCGCCAACAACAUGAUGACCUCCCAGGUGGAAAAUGGAGCAGGUGAAAACUCCCGUGCUGAUCAGUUGUGGGAUCGUGCCUGUGAGUAACUGCUGCACUCCAACCUGGGCAACAUAGCAAGACCUCAUCUCUA